UGCUCAUUCCCCACUGGAAGACCUCUAUACCACCAACCCUGCCCUGAGAUCCAAAUCCCUACCACAAAAGCCUGUGUGCUCAGUCCUGCCAGGACACUUCACACUGCUGCCAAGGGAGUCCACAGUGCAUGAGACCAUGGGUUCUAUCCCCAGCCGAAGGAAGAUCUGAAGAAGCAGACUGGAUCUCUGCUUGCUUUCCUCUGAGGAUGAACAUGAGCCCAGGCUGAUGACCCGAAUUUUUUUUUUUUGAAGACCUGAAGAUUAUGUUUUGAAGACCAUAUAGAGAGAAAGUGGCCAUCAAUAAAACACUGUAAUGUUUAUGUCCCACA
Long non-coding RNA from Mastomys coucha (southern multimammate mouse), 329 nucleotides. RefSeq lists it as uncharacterized. NCBI's taxonomy places the organism in Eukaryota, Metazoa, Chordata, Mammalia, Rodentia, Muridae. The record is from RefSeq and is a predicted model, not a curated record. The transcript is spliced from 3 exons.